GACGAACGCUGGCGGCGUGCUUAACACAUGCAAGUCGAACGGAAAGGCCCCUUCGGGGGUACUCGAGUGGCGAACAGGUGAGUAACACGUGAGUAACCUGCCCUUGACUUCGGGAUAACUUCAGGAAACUGGGGCUAAUACCGGAUAGGAAUCCUUGCUGCAUGGUGGGGGUUGGAAAGCUUCGGCGGUUUUGGAUGGACUCGCGGCUUAUCAGCUUGUUGGUGGGGUAGUGGCUUACCAAGGCUUUGACGGGUAGCCGGCCUGAGAGGGCGACCGGCCAAAGUGGGACUGAGAUACGGCCCAGACUCCUACGGGAGGCAGCAGUGGGGAAUAUUGCACAAUGGGCGGAAGCCUGAUGCAGCAACGCCGCGUGCGGGAUGACGGCCUUCGGGUUGUAAACCGCUUUCAGCAGGGGCGAAGCUUGUGGUGACGGUACCUGCAGAAGAAGCACCGGCUAACUACGUG
RNAcentral lists this ribosomal RNA (465 nucleotides) under uncultured bacterium. RNAcentral's name for it is "partial 16S ribosomal RNA". It matches the Rfam family "Bacterial small subunit ribosomal RNA", at positions 28 to 507 of the family's 1533-position model. The record is from RNAcentral.